Molecule: transfer RNA, 72 nt
Filed under: Cyphellophora europaea CBS 101466
Lineage: Eukaryota; Fungi; Ascomycota; Eurotiomycetes; Chaetothyriales; Cyphellophoraceae
Description: tRNA-Gln (TTG) (tRNA-Gln-TTG-1-1)
Rfam family: tRNA
About the family: Transfer RNA (tRNA) molecules are approximately 80 nucleotides in length. Their secondary structure includes four short double-helical elements and three loops (D, anti-codon, and T loops). Further hydrogen bonds mediate the characteristic L-shaped molecular structure. tRNAs have two regions of fundamental functional importance: the anti-codon, which is responsible for specific mRNA codon recognition, and the 3' end, to which the tRNAs corresponding amino acid is attached (by aminoacyl-tRNA synthetases). tRNAs cope with the degeneracy of the genetic code in two manners: having more than one tRNA (with a specific anti-codon) for a particular amino acid; and 'wobble' base-pairing, i.e. permitting non-standard base-pairing at the 3rd anti-codon position.
Source: RNAcentral
GGUUGUGUAGUGUAGUGGUGAUCACUCCGGAUUUUGAUUCCGGCAACCCCGGUUCGAACCCGGGCACGACCU